Molecule: non-coding RNA, 152 nt
Organism: Peromyscus maniculatus bairdii (prairie deer mouse)
Lineage: Eukaryota; Metazoa; Chordata; Mammalia; Rodentia; Cricetidae
Source: RefSeq, a predicted model, not a curated record
UCUAUUUAAUGAGCAGAGGAAUUUAUUUGGGGGUUAACUCACAAGACAGAAUAAAGGAAUUUGUCACAGGAUCUUGGAAGGGUGAGGCACCAUCCAAUGCUGUUCUCUGGCGAGCUGUGCCCUGGUCCAUUCCAGCAUCCAAAGCCAUGAGG